RNAcentral lists this ribosomal RNA (495 nucleotides) under uncultured bacterium. Its description in RNAcentral is "partial 16S ribosomal RNA". It matches the Rfam family "Bacterial small subunit ribosomal RNA", at positions 28 to 505 of the family's 1533-position model. The record is from RNAcentral.
GACGAACGCUGGCGGCGUGCCUAAUACAUGCAAGUUGAGCGCUGAAGGUUGGUACUUGUACCAACUGGAUGAGCAGCGAACGGGUGAGUAACGCGUGGGGAAUCUGCCUUUGAGCGGGGGACAACAUUUGGAAACGAAUGCUAAUACCGCAUAAAAACUUUAAACACAAGUUUUAAGUUUGAAAGAUGCAAUUGCAUCACUCAAAGAUGAUCCCGCGUUGUAUUAGCUAGUUGGUGAGGUAAAGGCUCACCAAGGCGAUGAUACAUAGCCGACCUGAGAGGGUGAUCGGCCACAUUGGGACUGAGACACGGCCCAAACUCCUACGGGAGGCAGCAGUAGGGAAUCUUCGGCAAUGGACGAAAGUCUGACCGAGCAACGCCGCGUGAGUGAAGAAGGUUUGCGGAUCGUAAAACUCUGUUGGUAGAGAAGAACGUUGGUGAGAGUGGAAAGCUCAUCAAGUGACGGUAACUACCCAGAAAGGGACGGCUAACUACG